Molecule: ribosomal RNA, 483 nt
Filed under: uncultured bacterium
Lineage: Bacteria
Description: partial 16S ribosomal RNA
Rfam family: Bacterial small subunit ribosomal RNA
Source: RNAcentral
GACGAACGCUGGCGGCGUGCUUAACACAUGCAAGUCGAACGCUGAAGCUCAGCUUUUGUUGGGUGGAUGAGUGGCGAACGGGUGAGUAACACGUGAGUAACCUGCCCCCUUCUUUGGGAUAACGCCCGGAAACGGGUGCUAAUACUGGAUAUUCACUGGUCUUCGCAUGGGGGUUGGUGGAAAGGGUUUUUCUGGUGGGGGAUGGGCUCGCGGCCUAUCAGCUUGUUGGUGGGGUGAUGGCCUACCAAGGCUUUGACGGGUAGCCGGCCUGAGAGGGUGACCGGUCACAUUGGGACUGAGAUAAGGCCCAGACUCCUACGGGAGGCAGCAGUGGGGAAUAUUGCACAAUGGGCGCAAGCCUGAUGCAGCGACGCCGCGUGAGGGAUGGAGGCCUUCGGGUUGUGAACCUCUUUCGCUCAUGGUCAAGCCGCAACAAUGGUUGUGGUGAGGGUAGUGGGUAAAGAAGCGCCGGCUAACUACGUG